RNAcentral lists this long non-coding RNA (534 nucleotides) under Populus trichocarpa (black cottonwood). RNAcentral describes it as "long non-coding RNA (PTRI_LNC002352)". Lineage: Eukaryota; Viridiplantae; Streptophyta; Magnoliopsida; Malpighiales; Salicaceae. The record is from RNAcentral.
AAAAUUGGUGUGAAAAUAGCUUAAUUUUUUAGUAAAAAGCAUAAAAACAUACCAAGUUGAUGGGAGAAAAAAAUGGGUGGUAUGAGUUUGGUUUUAUGAGGUGAUAAGGUUGAUGAAAACCACAAGAUUGUCGAACCCGUUCUUUCCAUGAAACCGGCGUCAUUUUCCACCUAAUGAGCUUUCGCUUUUGGAGAUUCUAUCACCUUAAGAUUUUGUGAAAGAAAUUAGGGCAAGCAGUCUCUCCUAAGCACUUUGAAGUUUGAAGUCAAAUUCUACAAAAUCACAAGUAUCUUCUGUUGAUUUCCGGUGCCCUCUAAGGAGAGUCCAAGUUCAGUUUCUAACCAACAUGGGAAAUAAAAACUGGGAGUGGUAGCUGAAUAGAAAAGACAACGGCGAUGGACUUUAGCAGGCGAGAGAUCAGUAUCACGUUGCAAAAGGAAAGGGGUGGUGGAGCUUUGUGAGGUUGUGGGAUUUUGUAAUUCAUUUCUAGGGAAAUAAAAUUCUUGUAGUCUAUGAAAAGACAGAGACUUAGGC